This is a non-coding RNA of Pelobates cultripes (western spadefoot toad), 327 nucleotides long. The record is from the annotation of a GenBank genome assembly. NCBI's taxonomy places the organism in Eukaryota, Metazoa, Chordata, Amphibia, Anura, Pelobatidae.
CUUGUGGUGGUUGUCUGGGGCUCAAAAGCAGACGUGAGCCUCCCCAGAUCGUUCCCCAAUAAUACCUCCGCUGGUAACUGCGGCAUCAACCCCACCUCCACAUGCCCUGCCCCCGCUCCCCAAUGCAAAUGUACCCUUGCUGUAGGUAGCCGGUACACUGCUCCCCCGGCUACCCUGACGGCCACAGUUUUACUCAGUUUAGCUUGAUCCGACACCAGGUGACUCUUUACCAGGGUGAUAGUAGCCCCUGAGUCGCGUAGUCCUUGGACCGCUUUACCCUCCAGGUAUACAGUCUGCCUAUGAUGCUGUCGGUUAUCCGCAUUGGCC